GACGAACGCUGGCGGCGUGCUUAACACAUGCAAGUCGAACGGUGAUGCUCCAGCUUGCUGGAGUGGAUCAGUGGCGAACGGGUGAGUAACACGUGAGCAACCUGCCCCAGACUCUGGAAUAAGCGCUGGAAACGGCGUCUAAUACUGGAUACGAAACUGGCCCGCAUGGGCAUGGUUUGGAAAGUUUUUCGGUUUGGGAUGGGCUCGCGGCCUAUCAGCUUGUUGGUGAGGUAAUGGCUCACCAAGGCGACGACGGGUAGCCGGCCUGAGAGGGCGACCGGCCACACUGGGACUGAGACACGGCCCAGACUCCUACGUGAGGCAGCAGUGGGGAAUAUUGCACAAUGGGCGAAAGCCUGAUGCAGCGACGCCGCGUGAGGGAUGACGGCCUUCGGGUUGUAAACCUCUUUCAGCAGGGAAGAAGCGAAAGUGACGGUACCUGCAGAAGAAGCACCGGCUAACUACGUG
RNAcentral lists this ribosomal RNA (468 nucleotides) under uncultured bacterium. RNAcentral's name for it is "partial 16S ribosomal RNA". It matches the Rfam family "Bacterial small subunit ribosomal RNA", at positions 28 to 507 of the family's 1533-position model. The record is from RNAcentral.